GCAAACUUGGUCAUUUAGAGGAAGUAAAAGUCGUAACAAGGUUUCCGUAGGUGAACCUGCGGAAGGAUCAUUGCCGAUAACACGGGCGCGCGCCUGUCUCUCCCCGGAGAGGAGGCCGCGCCUUCUAUCGCAUCCCCCACGUGCCCUUCUUCGCCGGGCGCUGCUGGCUGGCUGGCCCCCGUGGCCUGCCUGCCGCCGCCCCGGCGGGGUCGUGAACCCGGCCACUCGGCGCGCGCGCGUGCGCGUCGUUGGCCCAACCAAAAAAUACAACCUUUUUUGCCUUUCUUGCGUGUCUCCACAGACUGAAGAAGUCAAAAACAAAAACAAAAACUAUUCUUACAACUUUUAACAAUGGAUAUCUUGGCUCGCGCAUCGAUGAAGAACGCAGC
This 389-nucleotide unclassified non-coding RNA is filed under the name uncultured fungus. RNAcentral's name for it is "partial contains small subunit ribosomal RNA, internal transcribed spacer 1, and 5.8S ribosomal RNA". The stretch from base 1 to 73 matches the Rfam family "Eukaryotic small subunit ribosomal RNA", at positions 1759 to 1831 of the family's 1831-position model. The record is from RNAcentral. Lineage: Eukaryota; Fungi.